Molecule: ribosomal RNA, 497 nt
Filed under: uncultured bacterium
Lineage: Bacteria
Description: partial 16S ribosomal RNA
Rfam family: Bacterial small subunit ribosomal RNA
Source: RNAcentral
GAUGAACGCUGGCGGCGUGCCUAAUACAUGCAAGUCGAGCGAACAGACGAGGAGCUUGCUCCUCUGACGUUAGCGGCGGACGGGUGAGUAACACGUGGAUAACCUACCUAUAAGACUGGGAUAACUUCGGGAAACCGGAGCUAAUACCGGAUAAUAUAUUGAACCGCAUGGUUCAAUAGUGAAAGACGGUUUUGCUGUCACUUAUAGAUGGAUCCGCGCCGCAUUAGCUAGUUGGUAAGGUAACGGCUUACCAAGGCGACGAUGCGUAGCCGACCUGAGAGGGUGAUCAGCCACACUGGAACUGAGACACGGUCCAGACUCCUACGGGAGGCAGCAGUAGGGAAUCUUCCGCAAUGGGCGAAAGCCUGACGGAGCAACGCCGCGUGAGUGAUGAAGGUCUUCGGAUCGUAAAACUCUGUUAUUAGGGAAGAACAAAUGUGUAAGUAACUAUGCACGUCUUGACGGUACCUAAACAGAAAGCCACGGCUAACUACGUG